Molecule: ribosomal RNA, 497 nt
Filed under: uncultured bacterium
Lineage: Bacteria
Description: partial 16S ribosomal RNA
Rfam family: Bacterial small subunit ribosomal RNA
Source: RNAcentral
GAUGAACGCUGGCGGCGUGCCUAAUACAUGCAAGUCGAGCGAACGGACGAGAAGCUUGCUUCUCUGAUGUUAGCGGCGGACGGGCGAGUAACACGUGGAUAACCUACUUAUAAGACUGGGAUAACUUCGGGAAACCGGAGCUAAUACCGGAUAAUAUUUUGAACCGCAUGGUUCAAAAGUGAAAGACGGUUUUCCUGUCACUUAUAGAUGGAUCCGCGCUGCAUUAGCUAGUUGGUAAGGUAACGGCUUACCAAGGCAACGAUGCAUAGCCGACCUGAGAGGAUGAUCGGCCACACUGGAACUGAGACACGGUCCAGACUCCUACGGGAGGCAGCAGUAGGGAAUAUUCCGCAAUGGGCGAAAGCCUGACGGAGCAACGCCGCGUGAGUGAUGAAGGUCUUCGGAUCGUAAAGCUCUGUUAUUAGGGAAGAACAUAUGUGUAAGUAACUGUGCACGUCUUGACGGUACCUAAUCAGAAAGCCCCGGCUAACUACGUG